This 72-nucleotide transfer RNA is filed under the name Camelus bactrianus (Bactrian camel). It matches the Rfam family "tRNA". Rfam says of the family: Transfer RNA (tRNA) molecules are approximately 80 nucleotides in length. Lineage: Eukaryota; Metazoa; Chordata; Mammalia; Artiodactyla; Camelidae. The record is from Rfam by way of RNAcentral. RNAcentral also lists the same sequence under 2 other names.
GAGGGUAUAGCUCAGUGGUAGAGUGCCUGCCUAGCACACACAAGGUCCUGGGUUCAACCCCUAGUACCUCCA